GACGCUGGCGGCGUGCCUAAUACAUGCAAGUCGAACGGUCUUUCUAUGGAAGCUUGCUUCCGCUGAGAAGAUAGUGGCGAACGGGUGAGUAACACGUGGGUAACCUGCCCAUAAGAGGGGGAUAACAUCCGGAAACGGGUGCUAAUACCGCAUAGUUUUCUUGGUCGCAUGAUCGGGAAAGGAAAGACGGCCUUUGUGCUGUCGCUUAUGGAUGGACCCGCGGCGUAUUAGCUAGUUGGUGAGGUAACGGCUCACCAAGACGAUGAUACGUAGCCGACCUGAGAGGGUGAUCGGCCACAUUGGGACUGAGACACGGCCCAAACUCCUACGGGAGGCAGCAGUAGGGAAUCUUCCGCAAUGGACGAAAGUCUGACGGAGCAACGCCGCGUGAGUGAAGAAAAGGUUUUCGGAUCGUAAAACUCUGUUGUCAGAGAAGAACAAGUUGGAGAGUAACUGCUCCAGCCUUGACGGUAUCUGACCAGAAAGCCACGGCUAACUACGUGCCAGCCGCCGC
Molecule: ribosomal RNA, 514 nt
Filed under: uncultured bacterium
Lineage: Bacteria
Description: bacterial SSU rRNA
Rfam family: Bacterial small subunit ribosomal RNA
Source: RNAcentral